Non-coding RNA from Penicillium arizonense, 96 nucleotides. The record is from Rfam. Lineage: Eukaryota; Fungi; Ascomycota; Eurotiomycetes; Eurotiales; Aspergillaceae.
UCAAAUGAUGAUUUUCCCGAUAGGGACAUCCGAUGCAAAAGCAGAUGAUGUGACCUGGACAAGAGAUUUUAGUAGAUGCUUCUUGACUAUCUGAAG